GUUCUCUCACACACACUUUACGUAGGAGAAAACAGGCUGAGUGAGGACUCGCAAGGGCCUGAGGUCCAGUGGCCAGAGAGUCAGGAUUCCCGAUGGUUCCAGUGCCUCCCGCUCCCAGGACUGUCAGGCCAGUGGUUUCUGGGGCCUAUGGCUAUGACUUUUCCCAUCGAUUAUCUGCCAACCGAUGGAGGUGGACUGUCUUCAUUCCCUGGCAACUAACUUGGAGGUAGUCAGCAAAUGGAACUUGAUAUCAAAGAACUGCCAUCCAAAGAGAAGUCCUGAUGCCUCAAGGCCAGUGGGAACCCACCCAAGAGUUACCUUGAUACAGCAGGACUGGGCCUUCCAAGAGCCAGAAGAACUCACCACAGCUCUGUGGUCCAGUGCUACCAGAGAAGAUGCAGAGACCCAUGGCUACAGUGGCCUAGACAGUCCCUGAGAGAACACUCAUACCCCAGCCUGGGAUGUCCCCACAGAGCACCUGCCGCCCACCCUGGGCUACUCCCACAAAGACCACUCGUUCCUUGUCAACCUCCUUUGCAGAUUCUCACCACAGUACCCUAAGAAGCAGCUUGGCACAGCCUAACCCAGGCCCUAGCCCCUCACCCUAAGCCCACAGAGGGCAUGUCUAGUCACAGUAAACCAUCUCUAAAAGGGC
Non-coding RNA from Peromyscus maniculatus bairdii (prairie deer mouse), 655 nucleotides. Lineage: Eukaryota; Metazoa; Chordata; Mammalia; Rodentia; Cricetidae. The record is from RefSeq and is a predicted model, not a curated record.